CUUUUAUUCUCUCUCACACACAUUCACGGAUAAAGUUUAGGCAUCGAAUAGUUGGUUCCUGGGCUGUAAACCUCCCAACUUCCUGAUCCAUGCUCCAAAGGACAGAUCUAGGAUCAGCUCACCCUCGUCAAAUCCAAACCAGGACCUUAAUAAUCCACAAAGGGGAAAACGGACCUGAGACCAGCAUUUAAACCCCACGUCUUCCUGUCCAGACACUGCUCUCCAUCCAGAGUUCCUCCUGUGCUCCAGCUGUCCAUCCGUCUAUCCAUCCAUUCAUCCCUCCACACCCCAGCCAACCAGCCAUGGGUCUGAUGAGUGAAGACAUGAAUUGUUGCGUCUGCUUCCAACCCUACUCUCGCAGGGAGAAAAUCCCUCGGGUGCUCCACUGUGAACACACCUUCUGUGGGCCGUGCUUGGAGACAAUCUCCAGGCUCCAGAGUGGCCUCCUGACCGCGUGCUGCCCUCUGUGUCGCUGGAUCACCUGUAGCCAGGUCAGCCUACCCUUUGCUGGUUCUCUGGUUGUCAACACUGAGAUCUGGGACCAGAUAGCAGACAGACAGGAGGAAGAGGAGGAGAUGGAGGCGUGGAUAGGAAAUAACAGACAGACACAGACCUCCACACAGUACAAAUGCUCUUCAUUGGGGCAUUCUGGUGUGAGGAUCAAGCUACAGAGUUUCUGGAGGAGAAUGAGGCACAGUGGUCAGAGAGCACUAAAAGAAGGGAAGAAAUGAAGGUCUUGGUUGUGUUUUGAUAGAUGAUGUCACCGUAGUAGUCUAGGACAGGAAGCAGCAGUUGGGAUACCAAGGUCUUUCUUUUUCAGUAUUUAUUUGUUAUAUUUUAUACAAUAUACGGUCUACAAUCUUUAUAAUCAAAACAAAUAUGUCACCUUUAUUUCAACAUGUAGUUUUUUUGAGACCUAGUUUCUCUUUUUCAAAUGAACCCUGUAAUAUGAUUGUCCCUAUAUGUCUGAAGUGCAUAUUUUUUGUACUCAAGUGAUAUUUAUUGCUAUGAUUGUAAAAUAAAUUAAUCUGCUUUAAAAUAACUGUCUUCUAGUUGUGAAAUCACGCUGGUGCAAUCAAUUCUCUCUCUCUCCCUCUCCCUCUGGUUUGAGGAACUAUUAUUGUAGUAACAGCAAAAUAAGCUAAUGUUAUUGUACCCGUAAGUGUGUUGUAAUUCGCAACAAUAUCAUAGAAUUACGUUACAUUCGCUGCCAUGUCAUUGUUAUGCCACUGGGGUUAGAAAGCUUGUAUCCAUGGUGCGACAGCUCUUAGUGUAAUUACGGUAUAGGUGCGACAGCUCUCACUGUUAUAACGGUAUAGAGAAUUCAGAGUUAAGGGUUUAUAAAGGACGUCGUUUGUUCGGUAAAAAAAAAAAAAAAACAGUCAGGAACCUUCUGCGAUAAUUGUGCACAUUUUCAUAAUUUUCGCCCUAAUUGUUAAUUUACAAAGUAUACGGGACUGGACUUUUAUUCUGAAGGAUUACAUAAAUCCGUGACCCCGGACCGGAGAUGCAGGAAAAACAGCUGAUUCUUGAGAAGUGAAACUGAAAGGGGGAAACCUAAAGGUGAUGACAGACGGUUGGUCCACAGACAGAACAAUGUGCCAGAUAUUUCACCGGAUGAAUAAAUGUGAAACAUCUGAUUGGCGUUUCCUCUCACUGUUUCCAAAAUCAGAAUCUCUCUCUAGUUUAAACAGACUGAUUUUUAUGGGGAUUUUUUUCAUAAUGCCAAUUAGAUUUCCAACUGCGCGCGGACAUCGACUUCAGUUAAAACCACUACAAUGACAAGGCACGUUCUCAGAUAGGGGUCUAGAAGUGCUACCCUCCUCCAGUGAAAAUACCCCUACAAAAUAAGAUUGAUCUAUUUUAGAUAUCGGUGACCAAAAACUGGACAUGUGUGUCGUUUUUAGACAUGAAUACCUGUUCCCUAAAUGUCUCUGCAAGGGCCUGACAAAGAGGAUUCCAUCAAAGCAUUUCCUGGAAGAAAUAAAACAUGGCGUGAAUUCUCCACAAGUGUUGACAAUUCUGUGUUUUUGGACUUCCAUGGAACUAACCUGCGUCACCUGAGAGCGGAGGAGGUGAGAGACCGCCCCUUAUGAAACAAGAAAAAAAAAAAAAGUAUCUUUAUUUUACUAGGCAAGUCAGUUAAGAACAAAUUCUUAUUUUCAAUGACGGCCUGGGAACAGUGGGUUAACUGCCUGUUCAGGGGCAGAACGACAGAUUUGUACCUUGUUUGAACUUGCAACCUUCCGGUUACUAGUCUAACACUCUAACCACUAGGCUACCCUCACCUUCGCAGUGGCUUAAAAGCACAGGUAGACAAUGUUGCAAGGGUUCCCAAACUUUUUUGCCCUACGACCCCAAAUUCUUGUGACCUCAACCAUGUGAAAAAAUGUGGUAAUUAAAUGCACUCAAAUAAUAAUUAAAUUAAAUUAAAUGCACUAAAAUGCACUCAUUCUAGCAGGAUUUCUGAUUGUCUUCUCAACUCAAAUCAAAUCCUAUGUGUCACAUGCGCCAAAUACAACAGGUGUAGUAGACCUUCCGUUGAAAUGCUUACUUACAAGCCCCUUAACAAACAAUGUAGUUCAAGAAAUAGAGUUAAGAAAAUAUUUACUAAAUAAACUAAAUGUGGGGCUUUGGCAGUCAAUUGUAAAACAUUCUAACUGUAUUUCUGAUUUGUCUUCUCAACUCACCAUCACAUACUGUUCAUGUGGGGCUGUGACAGUCAAUUGAAAAUGAGUCUGACACAAUGUGUCUUAUCUCACCAUCUCGUUUUCAUGAUGGGGUAUUGUGAUGUCAUGAUGGGGUAUUGUGAUGUCAUGAUGGGGUAUUGUGAUGUUAUUAUGGGGUAUUGUGAUGUCAUUAUGGGUUAUUGUGUG
This is a non-coding RNA of Oncorhynchus mykiss (rainbow trout), 2876 nucleotides long. Lineage: Eukaryota; Metazoa; Chordata; Actinopteri; Salmoniformes; Salmonidae. The record is from RefSeq and is a predicted model, not a curated record.